Molecule: ribosomal RNA, 549 nt
Filed under: Bruchomorpha oculata
Lineage: Eukaryota; Metazoa; Arthropoda; Insecta; Hemiptera; Caliscelidae
Description: partial 16S ribosomal RNA
Rfam family: Bacterial large subunit ribosomal RNA
Source: RNAcentral
CGCCUGUUUAUCAAAAACAUGUCUUAAUGUUAUUUAUUUUAAGUCUAGCCUGCUCAAUGAAUUGUUUUAAAUAGCCGCAGUAAUUUAACUGUGCUAAGGUAGCAUAAUAAUUAGUCUUUUAAUUGAAGUCUUGAAUGAAAGGUUGGAUGAAAAAUCUACUUUAUUAAUAUUUUUUUAUUGAAUUUUAUUUUUAAUUUAAAAAGAUUAAAUUUAUUUAGGGGACGAUAAGACCCUAUAGAUCUUAAAAAUAUUUUUUUUUUAUUAAUUUUUGUUGUUAAAUUUUUUGUAAAAAUAUUAUUUUUUUGUUGGGGUGACAAAUAAAAAUUUAAACUUUAUUUAUUUUUUACAUUUAUAGUUGAUUUUUUGAUCCUAAGUUUUGGAUAGUAAGAUAAAGAUACCUUAGGGAUAACAGCGUUAUAAUUCUGGAGAGUUCUAAUCAAUAGAAUUGUUUGCGACCUCGAUGUUGGAUUAAUUUUAAUUUGUGGGGUAGAUUUUACAAUUUUAGGUCUGUUCGACUUUAAAAAAUUACAUGAUCUGAGUUCAGACCGG